Molecule: long non-coding RNA, 1651 nt
Filed under: Ovis aries (sheep)
Lineage: Eukaryota; Metazoa; Chordata; Mammalia; Artiodactyla; Bovidae
Description: lncRNA (ENSOARG00000026925.1)
Source: RNAcentral
AUGCUUCCAGAAGGCCUGGAGCCGACCCCCGACCAUAGCUGGGAGGAAAGCAGCGCCUGUUACCCUUGGGCUCCACUUAAGCCUCCAACCUGGACCCCAGACCCCGGAAUUAUCAUUCCGGCACAUACCCACGGCCUCCACUGCUUCAGUCAUGGGGAUCUCUGGAGUUCGAAGCCCCCGGGCCGGGGCCCCCUCUGGGGGUGCCCGGGCCGCCCGGCAGGAAAGAGGACCUGCCUGCUCCAUCUCCCCUCCCCUCCAGCUUGGCGUUGCCAGGACGUGAGGGGCUUCAGCUCAGUCCCCUCCUCUUCUGCGAUAGGAGUGGGGCCAGGCAGACGAGCCUCCGGCCCUCAUCCCCAGACACUCCCCUCUUUGCUUUGUCUGGACCUAUGUAUCUCUUCAGAUUUUCUAAGGACCACCCUCCUUCCCCAAACUGCGCCCCCCUCCUCUCGACACACACACACACACACACACACACACACACACACAAAUUCACAAAAAAAAGCUAUAAAAAAAAUCAACCUUUCAGAGAAUUACUAUUUACUUUAUUAACUUACGGAUUUAUUAUAUAAAUAUAUAUUCACCUAGCAACAUAUCUUCGCCGCCUCUUGCUCUCAUAAUGAAGACAUAGCUGAUUGGCUCCCCUCCCCCAGCCCCUCACCGAUUCUCUCUGAUGUCUGCCGUAGGGCAUGGGUCUCUGGGGACCCUCCUGAGGUGGAGGGUGGGCUGCUGGCCUAGUUGCCUGUUAGUGGAUGGUUUUGCUCUCCCUUCCCUAACCGCCCCGCCCCCCCCCACCCCUGCCUUAUUUUUUUUGAGUUUAUUCUUGAUUAUUUUUUUCCCGGUUUCUGGAUAAACCUCCCUUCUGGGGACAGGAUAAUAAAACAUGUAAUAUUUUUAAGGAUUCCUACAGCGUCCUCUGUUUUUCUAUCCCUGUUCUCCACUUCUUUGGAGAGUGAUGAUGGAGCACCCCUUCCCAGAGCAAAGUGGGGGCUUGGGCGCAACCCAGUCCUUGUUCCCGUGAGUGUGUGAGCAUAGGGGUGCCUCUGGGGACCCACUCUGGGCCAGCCACUGUUCUCAGCGUGUGAUGUGGGCAGACUCGUGCAGCCCACACAGGGCAGGACAAAACAGAGAGGUGCAGGGACUUGCCCAGUGUCACCCAGCCGGUGAGGGGUGGGGCCUGAAAUUAGCUCCAGGCAGGCUGGCUCCCAAGGCCGUGCUCAGACCACCGUCCACUGUCAGAGCAGCUGCUCCCUCCCCGCGGUCGGGGCUGGGAUGGGGAAGAGGCAGGGAUCCCGGGCUGAGAUCUAGGAGAAGGUGGCCACCUGCAUCCACUGGGCGAGAGGAGACAGCAGGGGUGAGGCUGGGGGGCUCCCGGCACUCCCCCUACCUCCACCUGUGCCCUGCAUUCCAGGCUCACCUGUCUGUGGGUCAGGCAGACGACCCCCUCACCCCCAUCCAGGUACUGGCUGCAGUGGCCCUUGCAGAGAGGGGUGAGGUGAGGGCCCACCUGCCUGGUCCCGCAGCCGCGGAGACCGCCUCCCCCUGCCCCACCGGUGCCGGGGAGGGCACUCACGGAAGAUGCAGAUGAGCUGGGCCAUGCAGGACACGAAGCGCUCAAAGUCCACACGCAGGCGGCUGUCACGGUAGCGGCUCG